Molecule: long non-coding RNA, 224 nt
Filed under: Sorghum bicolor (sorghum)
Lineage: Eukaryota; Viridiplantae; Streptophyta; Magnoliopsida; Poales; Poaceae
Description: long non-coding RNA (SBIC_LNC007530)
Source: RNAcentral
AAUCUCUUCUGGUGGUUCCAAAAUCUAGAGCCAAAGAGCUGAAGCAUCAUUCCUUCAAGACGCUUACAACCUUCUUUCAUCAAUCUUCCCUCUUCCUCUUUAGACAGCAGAAACCAUUGCCUAAUCCAAUAAGUUCCUCUAAAAAUUACCUGCAAAUAGGGGUUAGUAACUUUUCUUUGGAACACUGCAUCAUUUCUAUUCAACCAUAUGGCCCAACACAUGGC